This 467-nucleotide ribosomal RNA is filed under the name uncultured bacterium. Its description in RNAcentral is "partial 16S ribosomal RNA". It matches the Rfam family "Bacterial small subunit ribosomal RNA", at positions 28 to 506 of the family's 1533-position model. The record is from RNAcentral.
GACGAACGCUGGCGGCGUGCUUAACACAUGCAAGUCGAACGGAAAGGCCCUGCUUUUGUGGGGUGCUCGAGUGGCGAACGGGUGAGUAACACGUGAGUAACCUGCCCUUGACUUUGGGAUAACUUCAGGAAACUGGGGCUAAUACCGGAUAGGAGCUCCUGCUGCAUGGUGGGGGUUGGAAAGUUUCGGCGGUUGGGGAUGGACUCGCGGCUUAUCAGCUUGUUGGUGGGGUAGUGGCUUACCAAGGCUUUGACGGGUAGCCGGCCUGAGAGGGUGACCGGCAACAUGGGGACUAAGAUACGGCCCAAACUCCUACGGGAGGAAGCAGUGGGGAAUAUUGCACAAUGGGGGAAAGCCUAAUGCGGAAACGCGGCGUGGGGGAUAACGGCCUUCGGGUUGUAAACCGCUUUCGCCUGUGACGAAGCGUGAGUGACGGUAAUGGGUAAAGAAGCACCGGCUAACUACGU